Molecule: small nucleolar RNA, 77 nt
Filed under: Aotus nancymaae (Ma's night monkey)
Lineage: Eukaryota; Metazoa; Chordata; Mammalia; Primates; Aotidae
Description: Small nucleolar RNA SNORD45 (ENSANAG00000012653.1)
Rfam family: Small nucleolar RNA SNORD45
About the family: U45 belongs to the C/D class of snoRNA which contain the C (UGAUGA) and D (CUGA) box motifs. Most of the members of the box C/D family function in directing site-specific 2'-O-methylation of substrate RNAs.
Source: Rfam by way of RNAcentral
GGUUAAUGAUGAGCUGACUUGUACUCUGAAUCUAAACUUGAUUAUUAGUACUUUAGUUCUAGAAUUAUUGAGACAUA